AGAAGUGCGAAUGCUGACAUGAGUAACGACAAUGGGUGUGAAAAACACCCACGCCGAAAGACCAAGGGUUCCUGCGCAACGUUAAUCGACGCAGGGUUAGUCGGUUCCUAAGGCGAGGCUGAAAAGCGUAGUCGAUGGGAAACAGGUUAAUAUUCCUGUACUUCUGGUUACUGCGAUGGAGGGACGGAGAAGGCUAGGCCAGCUUGGCGUUGGUUGUCCAAGUUUAAGGUGGUAGGCUGAAAUCUUAGGUAAAUCCGGGGUUUCAAGGCCGAGAGCUGAUGACGAGUCGUCUUUUAGAUGACGAAGUGGUUGAUGCCAUGCUUCCAAGAAAAGCUUCUAAGCUUCAGGUAACCAGGAACCGUACCCCAAACCGACACAGGUGGUCGGGUAGAGAAUACCAAGGCGCUUGAGAGAACUCGGGUGAAGGAACUAGGCAAAAUGGCACCAUAACUUCGGGAGAAGGUGCGCCGGCUAGGGUGAAGGAUUUACUCCGUAAGCUCUGGCUGGUCGAAGAUACCAGGCCGCUGCGACUGUUUAUUAAAAACACAGCACUCUGCAAACACGAGAGUGGACGUAUAGGGUGUGACGCCUGCCCGGUGCCGGAAGGUUAAUUGAUGGGGUUAGCGCAAGCGAAGCUCUUGAUCGAAGCCCCGGUAAACGGCGGCCGUAACAAUAACGGUCCUAAGGUAGCGAAAUUCCUUGUCGGGUAAGUUCCGACCUGCACGAAUGGCGUAACGAUGGCGGCGCUGUCUCCACCCGAGACUCAGUGAAAUUGAAAUCGCUGUGAAGAUGCAGUGUAUCCGCGGCUAGACGGAAAGACCCCGUGAACCUUUACUGUAGCUUUGCACUGGACUUUGAGCCUGCUUGUGUAGGAUAGGUGGGAGGCUUUGAAGCGUGGACGCCAGUUCGCGUGGAGCCAUCCUUGAAAUACCACCCUGGCAUGCUUGAGGUUCUAACUCUGGUCCGUAAUCCGGAUCGAGGACAGUGUAUGGUGGGCAGUUUGACUGGGGCGGUCUCCUCCUAAAGAGUAACGGAGGAGUACGAAGGUGCGCUCAGACCGGUCGGAAAUCGGUCGCAGAGUAUAAAGGCAAAAGCGCGCUUGACUGCGAGACAGACACGUCGAGCAGGUACGAAAGUAGGUCUUAGUGAUCCGGUGGUUCUGUAUGGAAGGGCCAUCGCUCAACGGAUAAAAGGUACUCCGGGGAUAACAGGCUGAUACCGCCCAAGAGUUCAUAUCGACGGCGGUGUUUGGCACCUCGAUGUCGGCUCAUCACAUCCUGGGGCUGAAGCCGGUCCCAAGGGUAUGGCUGUUCGCCAUUUAAAGUGGUACGCGAGCUGGGUUUAGAACGUCGUGAGACAGUUCGGUCCCUAUCUGCCGUGGACGUUUGAGAUUUGAGAGGGGCUGCUCCUAGUACGAGAGGACCGGAGUGGACGAACCUCUGGUGUUCCGGUUGUCACGCCAGUGGCAUUGCCGGGUAGCUAUGUUCGGAAAAGAUAACCGCUGAAAGCAUCUAAGCGGGAAACUUGCCUCAAGAUGAGAUCUCACUGGGAACUUGAUUCCCCUGAAGGGCCGUCGAAGACUACGACGUUGAUAGGCUGGGUGUGUAAGCGUUGUGAGGCGUUGAGCUAACCAGUACUAAUUGCCCGUGAG
This 1651-nucleotide ribosomal RNA is filed under the name metagenome. RNAcentral's name for it is "bacterial LSU rRNA". It matches the Rfam family "Bacterial large subunit ribosomal RNA", at positions 1284 to 2915 of the family's 2925-position model. The record is from RNAcentral.